This 394-nucleotide ribosomal RNA is filed under the name uncultured bacterium. RNAcentral describes it as "partial 16S ribosomal RNA". It matches the Rfam family "Bacterial small subunit ribosomal RNA", at positions 523 to 918 of the family's 1533-position model. The record is from RNAcentral.
ACACGUAGGGGGCGAGCGUUGUUCGGAAUCAUUGGGCGUAAAGGGCGUGCAGGCGGUCCUGCAAGUCCGGCGUGAAAGACCCCGGCCCAACCGGGGGGACGCGCUGGAAACUGCGGGGCUUGAGUACAGGAGGGGAUGCCGGAAUUCCAGGUGUAGGGGGGAAAUCUGUAGAUAUCUGGAAGAACACCAAUGGCGAAGGCAGGCAUCUGGCCAUGGACUGACGCUGAGACGCGAAGGUGCGGGGAGCAAACAGGUUUAGAUACCCUGGUAGUCCGCACAGUAAACGAUGUGCACCAGGUGGCGGGGGGUCGACCCUCGGUACCGUAGCUAACGCAUUAAGUGCACCGCCUGGGGAGUAUGCUCGCAAGGGUGAAACUCAAAUGAAUUGACGGGG